RNAcentral lists this ribosomal RNA (956 nucleotides) under Pristimantis sp. QCAZ69215. RNAcentral describes it as "partial large subunit ribosomal RNA". It matches the Rfam family "Bacterial large subunit ribosomal RNA", at positions 966 to 2553 of the family's 2925-position model. The record is from RNAcentral. Lineage: Eukaryota; Metazoa; Chordata; Amphibia; Anura; Strabomantidae.
CCCCCCCCCCCUUUAGAGCAAUUCAAACGAGGUACAGCCCAUUUGAUACAGGAUACAACCUUUACUACCGGGUAAUAUUCAACUAACAUCGUUAAGUGGGCCUAACAGCAGCCAUCUUUCAAAAAGCGUCAAAGCUUAACCACACCAUCUUAAUCUGAAAACCCACAUUGACCCCUUUAACUAUAUUGAGAGCUUCUAUAGCCAUAUAGAACCCCUAAUGCUAAAACUAGUAACAAGAGUAAACCUCUCUCCUAAAUGCAAGUAUAAGCCAGCUAGAACCCAGCACUGGCACUUAAUCGACCCCAAGUAGUAACCCCCCCCACUAGAAAACCCUGCUUUUCCCAAUCGUUAACCUAGUACCAAAGCAUUCCAAGAAAGAUUAAAAGAGAAAAAAGGAACUCGGCAAACUUCAACCCCGCCUGUUUACCAAAAACAUCGCCUCUUGACCCCAUAAGAGGUCCAGCCUGCCCAGUGACUCUGUUCAACGGCCGCGGUAUUCUGACCGUGCAAAGGUAGCGUAAUCACUUGUCUUAUAAAUGAAGACUAGUAUGAAAGGCACCACGAGGGCUAAACUGUCUCCUCUCUCUAAUCAGUAAACCUAAUCUCCCCGUGAAGAAGCGGGGAUCAAAAUAUAAGACGAGAAGACCCUAUGGAGCUUAAAACAUCAUACACUUGCCACCAACUCUUUUAAACACUCAGGUCUUUCCCCCCCCCCGGCAUCCUGAUUGCAUGUUUUUGGUUGAGGUGACCGCGGAGAAAAACUCAUCCUCCACAGUGAAAGGGGUCCUCCCUCAAACAACAAGUUACAACUUUAUGUAUCAAUAAACUGACACCACUGACCCAAUAAAUUGAUCAAUGAACCAAGUUACCCUAGGGAUAACAGCACAAUCCACUUUGAGAGACCCUAUCGACAAGUGGGCUUAUGACCUCGAUGUUGGAUCGGGAUACCCAGGUGG